ACAGUCACACAUUAGAUACCCGGGUAGUCCUGGCCGUAAACGAUGUGGACUUGGUGUUGGAAUGGCUCCGAGCUGCUCCAGUGCCGAAGGGAAGCUGUUAAGUCCACCGCCUGGGAAGUACGGUCGCAAGACUGAAACUUAAAGGAAUUGGCGGGGAGCACCACAACGGGUGGAGCCUGCGGUUUAAUUGGACUCAACGCCGGAAAUCUCACCGGAUAGGACAGACAUAUGAUAGUCGGGCUGAAGACUCUACUUGAUGAUCUG
RNAcentral lists this ribosomal RNA (264 nucleotides) under uncultured archaeon. RNAcentral describes it as "partial 16S ribosomal RNA". It matches the Rfam family "Archaeal small subunit ribosomal RNA", at positions 719 to 982 of the family's 1478-position model. The record is from RNAcentral.